This 229-nucleotide unclassified non-coding RNA is filed under the name plant metagenome. Its description in RNAcentral is "partial contains small subunit ribosomal RNA, internal transcribed spacer 1, and 5.8S ribosomal RNA". The record is from RNAcentral.
UUUCCGUAGGUGAACCUGCGGAAGGACCAUUAUUGAAAUAAACCUGAUGGGUUGUUGCUGGCUCUCUAGGGAGCAUGUGCACGCCUUGUCAUCUUUAUAUCUCCACCUGUGCACCUUUUGUAGACCUUUCAGGUCUAUGUUGCUUCAUUUAUACCCCAAUGUAUGUUAAUAGAAUGUUGUGCCUAUAUUAUAAUAUAUACAACUUUCAGCAACGGAUCUCUUGGCUCUC